This 497-nucleotide ribosomal RNA is filed under the name uncultured bacterium. RNAcentral's name for it is "partial 16S ribosomal RNA". It matches the Rfam family "Bacterial small subunit ribosomal RNA", at positions 28 to 507 of the family's 1533-position model. The record is from RNAcentral.
GAUGAACGCUGGCGGCGUGCCUAAUACAUGCGAGUCGAGCGAACAGACGAGGAGCUUGCUCCUUCGACGUUAGCGGCGGACGGGUGAGUAACACGUAGGUAACCUACCUAUAAGACUGGGAUAACUUCGGGAAACCGGAGCUAAUACCGGAUAAUAUUUCGAACCGCAUGGUUCGAUAGUGAAAGAUGGCUUUGCUAUCACUUAUAGAUGGACCUGCGCCGUAUUAGCUAGUUGGUAAGGUAACGGCUUACCAAGGCAACGAUACGUAGCCGACCUGAGAGGGUGAUCAGCCACACUGGAACUGAGACACGGUCCAGACUCCUACGGGAGGCAGCAGUAGGGAAUCUUCCGCAAUGGGCGAAAGCCUGACGGAGCAACGCCGCGUGAGUGAUGAAGGUCUUCGGAUCGUAAAACUCUGUUAUUAGGGAAGAACAAACGUGUAAGUAACUGUGCACGUCUUGACGGUACCUAAUCAGAAAGCCACGGCUAACUACGUG